This 1315-nucleotide ribosomal RNA is filed under the name unidentified marine bacterioplankton. RNAcentral describes it as "bacterial SSU rRNA". It matches the Rfam family "Bacterial small subunit ribosomal RNA", at positions 9 to 1371 of the family's 1533-position model. The record is from RNAcentral.
GAGUUUGAUCAUGGCUCAGGAUGAACGCUGGCGGCGUGCUUAACACAUGCAAGUCGAACGAACCUUCGGGUUAGUGGCGGACGGGUGAGUAACGCGUGAGAAUCUGCCCUCAGGAGGGGGACAACAGCUGGAAACGGCUGCUAAUACCCCAUAUGCCGCGAGGUGAAAUGAAUUUCGCCUGAGGAUGAGCUCGCGUCUGAUUAGCUAGUUGGUGUAGGUAAUGGCUCACCAAGGCAUCGAUCAGUAGCUGGUCUGAGAGGAUGAUCAGCCACACUGGGACUGAGACACGGCCCAGACUCCUACGGGAGGCAGCAGUGGGGAAUUUUCCGCAAUGGGCGAAAGCCUGACGGAGCAACGCCGCGUGAGGGAUGAAGGCCUCUGGGCUGUAAACCUCUUUUAUCAAGGAAGAAGAUCUGACGGUACUUGAUGAAUAAGCCACGGCUAAUUCCGUGCCAGCAGCCGCGGUAAUACGGGAGUGGCAAGCGUUAUCCGGAAUUAUUGGGCGUAAAGCGUCCGCAGGCGGCCCUUCAAGUCCGCUGUUAAAAAGUGGAGCUUAACUCCAUCAUGGCAGUGAAAACUGUUGGGCUUGAGUGUGGUAGGGGCAGAGGGAAUUCCCGGUGUAGCGGUGAAAUGCGUAGAUAUCGGGAAGAACACCAGUGGCGAAGGCGCUCUGCUGGGCCAUCACUGACGCUCAUGGACGAAAGCCAGGGGAGCGAAAGGGAUUAGAUACCCCUGUAGUCCUGGCCGUAAACGAUGAACACUAGGUGUCGGGGGAAUCGACCCCCUCGGUGUCGUAGCCAACGCGUUAAGUGUUCCGCCUGGGGGGUACGCACGCAAGUGUGAAACUCAAAGGAAUUGACGGGGGCCCGCACAAGCGGUGGGGUAUGUGGUUUAAUUCGAUGCAACGCGAAGAACCUUACCAGGGUUUGACAUCCUGCGAAUCUCUUGGAAACAGGAGAGUGCCUUCGGGAACGCAGUGACAGGUGGUGCAUGGCUGUCGUCAGCUCGUGCCGUGAGAUGUUGGGUUAAGUCCCGCAACGAGCGCAACCCACGUCUUUAGUUGCCAGCAUUUAGUUGGGCACUCUAGAGAGACUGCCGGUGAUAAACCGGAGGAAGGUGUGGAUGACGUCAAGUCAUCAUGCCCCUUACAUCCUGGGCUACACACGUACUACAAUGCUACGGACAAAGGGCAGCAAGUUCGCGAGGACAAGCAAAUCCCAUAAACCGUGGCUCAGUUCAGAUCGUAGGCUGCAACUCGCCUACGUGAAGGCGGAAUCGCUAGUAAUCGCAGGUCAGCAUACUGCGGUGAAUACGU